UCAGUGCUAUUGGCUGCUCCAUCUUCUGUUCCAACCCUAUCGUAAAUAAGUCCAGGAACUUCUCCAUCAUCUAUGAAAUCUAAAACCAACCGAAUUAUGCAGAAAAUUUAGAGGCAAUUCAGUUAAAAGAUUGACUCCCCACAUGGAUAGCAAUUGGUGUAUACAAAGCUCAAUACUCCCAAGAUGUUUCAAUUGUCAAACAGAAAUUCCAAUACCCUCCAAACUACAUGUUCCGUCUUCCCUCCAUUUGACUCCUCCGUUACUUAGUCCCAACUCUCUUCUGUCCAAAAUCCUUUCAAAGCUUUCAAAUCAUCUUCUUUGGCACUCAUUUCUUUUUACCCUCUUUUUUCCUUCAUUGUUCUUAAAGUAGUUUAGAUUAUAAAUGGUUCAAAUUGUGGGUAUUUGAUAUUGCAACAAGCUUAUUUCAAAUGUGCAUAUGAGUGCUUUGACAGAAGAAUAAAGCUUCAGGAGAUAAGGAAGCAUUGAAAUCUCCGUGUUCUUCAAGCUCAGAAACGUAUUGAAUGUGAAAUGGCCAAGUUUGUUUUCUCUCACCUCCGCAUGUCAUCUUCAAGAUCAGUCGGUGUGGCAAUACAUGAAGUUACAAUGGUGCAUUUAUGCUUUUAAUGCACUAAAAGAAAUGCUGGAGUUUGAAAUCUGACGUCUAUAUGUUGACGGCAUGAACAAAUGCUGGAGUUUUGGGUAGUUUCUUGAGACAAGAUACCAUAUCUGUGUGUUCAAAGAAUUUGAUGAGAAUGCCUGGAGAAUUAUUACAGUUUUUGACCAUGUAUACUUGCAUAGAUUAUACUUUUUCUGGGCACCGUCAUGCAACGCGUGAGGUCCAAAUAAACUAGUUCACAUCUAAUUGGAGGUAGAACAGAUUAAUAUCUUUUUUUCCUUGCAAGAUCUUACAUGAUUUUCCUUAGAA
Non-coding RNA from Coffea arabica (coffee), 925 nucleotides. The record is from RefSeq and is a predicted model, not a curated record. NCBI's taxonomy places the organism in Eukaryota, Viridiplantae, Streptophyta, Magnoliopsida, Gentianales, Rubiaceae.